CCUACGGGGUGCAGCAGUGGGGAAUAUUGGACAAUGGGCGAAAGCCUGAUCCAGCCAUGCCGCGUGUGUGAAGAAGGCCUUCGGGUUGUAAAGCACUUUCAGUGGGGAAGAAAGCCUUGGGGCUAAUACCCUCGAGGAAGGACAUCACCCACAGAAGAAGCACCGGCUAACUCCGUGCCAGCAGCCGCGGUAAUACGGAGGGUGCGAGCGUUAAUCGGAAUUACUGGGCGUAAAGCGCGCGUAGGCGGUCUGAUAAGCCGGUUGUGAAAGCCCCGGGCUCAACCUGGGAACGGCAUCCGGAACUGUCAGGCUAGAGUGCAGGAGAGGAAGGUAGAAUUCCCGGUGUAGCGGUGAAAUGCGUAGAGAUCGGGAGGAAUACCAGUGGCGAAGGCGGCCUUCUGGACUGACACUGACGCUGAGGUGCGAAAGCGUGGGUAGCAAUCAGGAUUAGAUACCCGGGUAGUC
Molecule: ribosomal RNA, 465 nt
Filed under: Vreelandella stevensii
Lineage: Bacteria; Pseudomonadati; Pseudomonadota; Gammaproteobacteria; Oceanospirillales; Halomonadaceae
Description: partial 16S ribosomal RNA
Rfam family: Bacterial small subunit ribosomal RNA
Source: RNAcentral